GAGAAGUUUUAUUCUUGCUUUGUUAUUCAUUUUGACUUUAUUAUACAUGUGAGAUUUUGCGGUUGGUUAUAUUUUCUGGGAGGAUGUAAAAUGUGUUUGUUGCAGUAUGAAAUAUUAUAAAUUUAUGUAGGUUUGAUUUAGUGAUUGUGUAUAAUAUUGAUUAAAUAUGUGCCAGCAGUCGCGGUUAUACAUUAGAUGUGAGUGAAUAUUUUUGGUUGAUAGUAAGUAAUUUGUUGUGGGAUGAUUUUGAUUAUUGUUUGGUAGAAUAUUAAUUUUUGUUUAUUUUUAAUUAAAAGUGUGAGGCUAUGAAAUCUAAAAUAUUUAAACUAGGAUUAGAUACCCUAUUAUUUUAGACGUAAAUAUAAUGGCUUGAGUAGUAAUAGGUAUGGUCUUGAAACUCAAAGAAUUUGGCGGUAUUUUAGUCUAUUUAGAGGAAUCUGUUUCGUGAUCGAUAAUCCGCGUUGGAUCUUACUUAAUUUGUUAUAGCAUGUAUAUCGCUGUUGAUAAAUGUCUUUUUAGGGUUAAUUUUUUUAAUGUUUUAUUGGAUGGUUAAUCAAGUCAAGGUGCAGCUUAUAAUUAAGUGGUAAUGGAUUACAUUAUUUUUGAAUACACGAAUUAAUUAUUGUGAUAAUAUUAUGAAGGUGGAUUUAAUAGUAAUUUUGUGAAGAUUGUCAAAAUGAUUAUGGCUCUAGAAUAUGCACACAUCGCCCGUCGCUCUCAUUGUAAGUUGAGAUAAGUCGUAACAUAGUAGUUGUACUGGAAAGUGUAGCUAGAAUUAU
RNAcentral lists this non-coding RNA (779 nucleotides) under Sigmella digitalis. Lineage: Eukaryota; Metazoa; Arthropoda; Insecta; Blattodea; Blattellidae. The record is from RNAcentral.